CUGGUAUUGAUUGGUGCUUGCAUCAUGAUUUACAUUUGAGUGAGUUGCGAACUGGUGAGUAACACGUGGGAAACCUGCCCAGAAGCGGGGGAUAACACCUGGAAACAGAUGCUAAUACCGCAUAACAACUUGGACCGCAUGGUCCGAGUUUGAAAGAUGGCUUCGGCUAUCACUUUUGGAUGGUCCCGCGGCGUAUUAGCUAGAUGGUGAGGUAACGGCUCACCAUGGCAAUGAUACGUAGCCGACCUGAGAGGGUAAUCGGCCACAUUGGGACUGAGACACGGCCCAAACUCCUACGGGAGGCAGCAGUAGGGAAUCUUCCACAAUGGACGAAAGUCUGAUGGAGCAACGCCGCGUGAGUGAAGAAGGGUUUCGGCUCGUAAAACUCUGUUGUUAAAGAAGAACAUAUCUGAGAGUAACUGUUCAGGUAUUGACGGUAUUUAACCAGAAAGCCACGGCUAACUACGUGCCAGCAGCCGCGGUAAUACGUAGGUGGCAAGCGUUGUCCGGAUUUAUUGGGCGUAAAGCGAGCGCAGGCGGUUUUUUAAGUCUGAUGUGAAAGCCUUCGGCUCAACCGAAGAAGUGCAUCGGAAACUGGGAAACUUGAGUGCAGAAGAGGACAGUGGAACUCCAUGUGUAGCGGUGAAAUGCGUAGAUAUAUGGAAGAACACCAGUGGCGAAGGCGGCUGUCUGGUCUGUAACUGACGCUGAGGCUCGAAAGUAUGGGUAGCAAACAGGAUUAGAUACCCUGGUAGUCCAUACCGUAAACGAUGAAUGCUAAGUGUUGGAGGGUUUCCGCCCUUCAGUGCUGCAGCUAACGCAUUAAGCAUUCCGCCUGGGGAGUACGGCCGCAAGGCUGAAACUCAAAGGAAUUGACGGGGGCCCGCACAAGCGGUGGAGCAUGUGGUUUAAUUCGAAGCUACGCGAAGAACCUUACCAGGUCUUGACAUACUAUGCAAAUCUAAGAGAUUAGACGUUCCCUUCGGGGACAUGGAUACAGGUGGUGCAUGGUUGUCGUCAGCUCGUGUCGUGAGAUGUUGGGUUAAGUCCCGCAACGAGCGCAACCCUUAUUAUCAGUUGCCAGCAUUAAGUUGGGCACUCUGGUGAGACUGCCGGUGACAAACCGGAGGAAGGUGGGGAUGACGUCAAAUCAUCAUGCCCCUUAUGACCUGGGCUACACACGUGCUACAAUGGAUGGUACAACGAGUUGCGAACUCGCGAGAGUAAGCUAAUCUCUUAAAGCCAUUCUCAGUUCGGAUUGUAGGCUGCAACUCGCCUACAUGAAGUCGGAAUCGCUAGUAAUCGCGGAUCAGCAUGCCGCGGUGAAUACGUUCCCGGGCCUUGUACACACCGCCCGUCACACCAUGAGAGUUUGUAACACCCAAAGUCGGUGGGGU
This 1397-nucleotide ribosomal RNA is filed under the name Lactiplantibacillus paraplantarum. RNAcentral's name for it is "bacterial SSU rRNA". It matches the Rfam family "Bacterial small subunit ribosomal RNA", at positions 67 to 1436 of the family's 1533-position model. Lineage: Bacteria; Bacillati; Bacillota; Bacilli; Lactobacillales; Lactobacillaceae. The record is from RNAcentral.